Molecule: ribosomal RNA, 331 nt
Filed under: Escherichia coli
Lineage: Bacteria; Pseudomonadati; Pseudomonadota; Gammaproteobacteria; Enterobacterales; Enterobacteriaceae
Description: partial 23S ribosomal RNA
Rfam family: Bacterial large subunit ribosomal RNA
Source: RNAcentral
UUCGACACACUAUCAUUAACUGAAUCCAUAGGUUAAUGAGGCGAACCGGGGGAACUGAAACAUCUAAGUACCCCGAGGAAAAGAAAUCAACCGAGAUUCCCCCAGUAGCGGCGAGCGAACGGGGAGGAGCCCAGAGCCUGAAUCAGUGUGUGUGUUAGUGGAAGCGUCUGGAAAGGCGCGCGAUACAGGGUGACAGCCCCGUACACAAAAAUGCACAUAUUGUGAGCUCGAUGAGUAGGGCGGGACACGUGGUAUCCUGUCUGAAUAUGGGGGGACCAUCCUCCAAGGCUAAAUACUCCUGACUGACCGAUAGUGAACCAGUACCGUGAGG